CAGAGGACGGCAAGCGUUGUUCGGAAUCACUGGGCUUAAAGCGCGUGUAGGCGGCCUCGCAAGUACUUUGUGAAAUCCCUCGGCUCAACCGGGGAAUUGCUGGGUAUGCUGCGGGGCUUGAGGCGGGUAGGGGUGCUUGGAACUCUAGGUGGAGCGGUGAAAUGCGUAGAUAUCUAGAGGAACGCCUGUGGCGAAAGCGGAGCACUGGGCCCGUCCUGACGCUAAGACGCGAAAGCGUGGGUAGCAAACGGGAUUAGAUACCCCGGUAGUCCACGCCGUAAACGAUGCGCACAAGGUUCAUUGGCCUCUGACGGCACGUGGGCCGAAACAAAAGUGUUAAGUGCGCCGCCUGGGGAGUACGGCCGCAAGGCUA
Molecule: ribosomal RNA, 373 nt
Filed under: uncultured organism
Description: bacterial SSU rRNA
Rfam family: Bacterial small subunit ribosomal RNA
Source: RNAcentral